This 440-nucleotide ribosomal RNA is filed under the name uncultured bacterium. RNAcentral describes it as "partial 16S ribosomal RNA". It matches the Rfam family "Bacterial small subunit ribosomal RNA", at positions 338 to 795 of the family's 1533-position model. The record is from RNAcentral.
CCUACGGGUGGCAGCAGUAGGGAAUAUUGCUCAAUGGGGGAAACCCUGAAGCAGCAACGCCGCGUGGAGGAUGAAGGUUUUCGGAUUGUAAACUCCUUUUGUUAGAGAAGAUAAUGACGGUGUCUAUCGAAUAAGCACCGGGCAACUCCGGGCCAGCAGCCGCGGUAAUACGGAGGGUGCAAGCGUUAGUCGGAAGCACUGGGCGUAAAGCGCGCGGAGGCGGGCUAGCAAGUCAGAUGUGAAAUCCUAGGGCUUAACCAUAGAACUGCAUUUGAAACUGUUAUUCUAGAGUAUGGGAGAGGUAGGUGGAAUUCUUGGUGUAGCGGUGAAAUCCGUAGAGAUCAAGAGGAAUACUGAUUGCGAAGGCGACCUGCUAGAACAUAACUGACGCUGAUGCGCGAAAGCGUGGGGAGCAAACAGGAUUAGAUACCCGAGUAGUC